AUGCUCAUGCUCAUGCUCAUGCUCAUGCUUUCGCUUUCACUUUCACUCUCCUCUACAUUACCAUUCCCAAAAUCAAAAGCAGCAGAACAGAGCAGAGCGGCGGCUAUCUGCCUCGCUGUAUCUAUUCUCCACUGAUUUCUAUCGCUCUCUAUCCAAAAUAUGGUUGGACCACCGAGGCCUCAAUUUGUGCUGUUUGGAUCGUCAAUAGUUCAGUUCAGCUACAGCAACCAUGGAUGGGGCGCUAUUCUCACCGACUUGUACGCUCGCAAGGCAGAUAUAUUGUUGCGAGGAUACUCAGGUUGGAAUUCAAGACGAGCUCUGCAGGUUUUGGAUCAAGUUUUUCCAAAGGAUGCUGCUGUACAACCUUCACUGGUGAUAGUCUAUUUUGGAGGUAAUGACUCGAUCCACCCUCAUCCAACUGGCCUUGGCCCUCACGUACCGCUUCCUGAAUAUAUCGAUAACAUGAGGAAGAUCGCUAUACAUCUCCAGAGCCUUUCAGAGAAGACUCGAGUUAUCUUUCUGAGUGCUCCUCCUGUGAAUGAGGAGCAAAUUGGCAAAACCCUGAGUGAUAAAUUCAAUAUGGUUCGAACAAAUGAAAGCUGCAGAAUAUAUUCAGAAGCUUGUCUAGAGCUGUGCCGUAGUAUGAACGUGAGGGCAAUUGAUCUUUGGACUGCAAUGCAGCAAAUAGAUGAUUGGAUGAACGUUUGCUUUACGGAUGGAAUCCAUUUUUCUGCCGAGGGUUGCAAGAUUGUUGUAAAGGAGAUCGUGAAGGUUAUUGAAGAGGCUAACUGGGAACCAAGUUUACAUUGGAAAGCAAUGCCUACUGAAUUCGCAGAGGACUCCCCUUAUGAUCCAGUUAAUCAGGAUGGGGCCACUGUGAACGUCUCAGAAUCAGACUUCCACAGAACCAUAGAAUGGGAUGAACCCUAGUAACCACUCGUUUCUUUAUUCAGGCAUAUGAACUGCAGAGCCCUUAAUCGUCAAGUCUUGCUCUUUAAUCAUUGGAAUCAAAGCUUAUUUGGAAUAAUACUACAAAUAUACAUUUAUAAUUUUACAAAGCAGGAGAGAAUGGCAAGGCGCAUAAUCCUGUAGUCAAUAUUGUCAAAAACUUACAUUGUUGCAAACAUUGCAGGGAAAUAAUAUCUUUUUGGACAAACUAUUCGUACGCCCAUAAAUUUCUUAACCCAACCAUAAAUCUUCUUUGCAGAUGAAGCUCAAAAUCUUCCAGUACAUCAAUGUAUCAAACCACCACGUCAACAUGAUCAUGUAAACUGUAAGAUCUUUUUGUUCUCAAAAGUUAUAUUACAUCAAGAAGUUAUAAAAACCCAUCUCUCACUUGUGCUAAAGAGUAAUUCGUACAUGCCCAAGCCACUGUAUAAACUUUAUCCAUACAAAGAAUAAUACAUACAAAAGGUGGAAAACAAGCAGAAACAACAGCAGCACUCACCAUGCCACUGCCUCCAUAGCUGCCCAAUUUUACUCAGAUGAUCUCGGCCUGCCUCUCUAAAACUUUCAACAUAAACAAAACUAGGCCAUAGACAUGCAUCCAGAUAUGAACAACACUUCCCUGAUACAACAGAAAACUCUUGAGGACUCCAAGUGGGUGUAUGCACUUCUGCUCAAAAACAUGCCUUAGGAAGAAAGCUGGAACCUGCCACUUGGCUUUUUUCUUCUCCAUCCGAAGGCAGCAUAAUACACAAAAGUCAAACCCGCUAGAACAAUAAAUGCGAUUUGGAAAACAUUAUACUUGUACAAAUAUUUAAUUCCCCGUAGAGACUGCAAUGUGUGGCCAAAAAUCUCCUGUGCAGCAGUUGCUUGAGCAUAGUAGCCAAAUGCUGUAGCACAGAACUGAAUCACACUAAUGGAGCAAAGAAGAAUGAGUGCAACAUUGAAAAGAAAGGAGUUCAUUAAUGUAGCUCCCCACUUCAUGGGAUGAAUUGUGAUGAAAACUAAUCUCAGGCCCAGCAUCAUUGCCCCAGCUAUCACUGCAAGCAGAAGGUAGAAGCAGAAGAAUGCAAAUGCCACAGUACCCAGAAGACCCCAUAUAUCAUCCAACUUAAUGAAGACCUCAUUCAGAAAAGGAGAAAGAGGUGGAUCAAUCAAUAGAUAUAUAACAAUAUGAGCCACCCAAGCCACCGAAACAAUCAACCCUAAGAUCCCCAACACAAGUUUUGCCAGGUACCCAAGAACAGUCAAAGCCCAAGCGGUCUCAGCCUUUUCUCCUUGAGGAUACAUCUCUUCUAACAGCUUGACAUCUUCUUCUAACUGAAGCAACUCCUUCUCUACUGCCUUCACAUUUUUACGCCAUUUUCUACCCUUAGAACCACUUCUUUCUUCCUGAUGGAGUGCAUCAGCUGCUUUCUUCAAUUCUUUUGCUUUUUUACCAAGUUCAGUUGCUUCCUUAAUAUACUGUGAGCGAGUGAUAACAGCCUUCGGACGCCGGAUGAAAGAAAAUAUAAGUCCCAAUGGCAAACAAGCAAUACCAACACCUCCAAAUAUCUGACAAACAUUCAGAAAAGAAUGGUCAGAAAUAUAUUCAUAAAAAAAAAACGCUGGAUGGAAUCCACACUUACAUGAGUAGUUCACAUAUAUGCAUACACACACCAUCUAUAUACAGAUGACCCGGUGCACGAAGUAGGCCACACUUGUGAGCUUUGGGGUGAGUUGAAGUAUGCAACCUUACCUCUACUUCGCAGAGAGGCUGCUUCCGUUGGCUUACCAUCAUACCAAAACCACCCUCAUACACCAUCUAUAUAUUUUUCCACUAUAAUCUUUUAAUAUUUCAGCAUAUUUCAUUGACAGUUUUCCACCAAUGGCUCUUGAUGAUGAAAUCAUAAAAGGACAGUGUGUCAUUGUUAAAGUUCAAUUCUGGUUUUAGGUUUAAGUACAAAAGUUUUCAAUAAAAACAAAAUCUAAACGUCUGCAUAAGUGAUUAUACCGCAAAAAGUACAGAUCCAACAAUUGUAGCCAGAGCAACAACAUAUUCUGGAAACGUGGUGCGCAUAGUCCAUGUUUUCUCUGAGGAAGGACUUGCAAGAUAUGCAGAGCACUGCCGUGCGCCACUUCCAAUACAUGGCUGACCGCUAGAAAAGUCCCAAGUACUCGGAAAGUUAGUUGUGGUUGAAGAGAGGUGCAUGACAGUGAAGUCCACCUUUCCAACUAGCCCAUAUAGAAUGCCAAGUAGAAGACCGCAUACAAUUGCCGUAGUUAUCACCCACAACAAUGCGCUUUUUAUCCUUUGCCCAACACUCUUGUCCUGGUCGCCUUCAUAGUAGAACAUCGCGAAGGGGAUAACGAAGAACACGAGCACAGCAUCGAUAAUAUAGACAGCGAUCCAUAGAUCUUUCAUUGGCAAGGUAAGACUACAAGCGCCAUUGUAUAUCGCGUGGCGACACGCCUGCCGGUUAGCUACGUCGGCCGGUAACAUCAAUAUUGAAAUGAGAGCGACGGAGAGGCCCAAAACGACCACGAAUUUGGGGAAAUACGCCUGGUUCUUGUCAUCUGGAUGCUGGUAAUUGACCAGAAGGUACACAUUGAAGAUAAAAACGAUAAUGCACACCACUAUAGCGACAAUAACUAGAGCGAGAUUGAAAUCGCCCAUCGCUUAAGCUCUCGAUUCGAAGUCGAAUCGAUUGAGAAAUUGAAAAAUUAAGGUUUUUUUCUUCUUGGAAUUGAAUGUUUGAAUUAUGUAGAUCUGGUUUUCUUGAAGGGAAUUGGGAAAGGGCGGGUUUGGCUCCGGUGAGGUCGUUUGUUGGAGGGUGAAUGACGUGUGGACAUUAAAUGACUAUUCUAUCCUUAAAAAACAGCCUAAUGGCAAAGAAGGGUGAGCUGGAUGUGGGGUUAAGAGUAAUUACAUAUUUUGCCCCCGUGUGUAUCAUUGAACAGCCUGUCCAGGCGAGACGAGCC
This 3906-nucleotide unclassified non-coding RNA is filed under the name Hevea brasiliensis (rubber tree). Lineage: Eukaryota; Viridiplantae; Streptophyta; Magnoliopsida; Malpighiales; Euphorbiaceae. The record is from RNAcentral.